GAUGAAGAACGUAGCGAAAUGCGAUAAGUAAUGUGAAUUGCAGAAUUCAGUGAAUCAUCGAAUCUUUGAACGCACCUUGCACCCUUUGGCUAUUCCGAAGGGUAUGCCUGUUUGAGUAUCACGAACACCUCAACUCUCAUGGUUUGCCAUGAUGAGCUUGGACUUUGGGGGUCUUGCUGGCCUGUGGUCAGCUCCUCUCAAAUGGAUUAGCUUGCCAGUGUUUGGUGGCAUCACAGGUGUGAUAACUAUCUACGCUUGUGGUUUUCCACCAGGUAACCUUCAGCAAUGGGGGUUCGCUGGGGCUCAUAAAUGUCUCUCCUCAGUGAGGACAGCUCUUUGAACGUUUGAUCUCAAAUCAGGUAGGACUACCCGCUGAACUUAAGCAUAUCAAUAAGCGGAGGA
This 402-nucleotide unclassified non-coding RNA is filed under the name soil metagenome. RNAcentral describes it as "partial contains 5.8S ribosomal RNA, internal transcribed spacer 2, and large subunit ribosomal RNA". The stretch from base 1 to 121 matches the Rfam family "5.8S ribosomal RNA", at positions 35 to 154 of the family's 154-position model. The record is from RNAcentral.